Oncorhynchus nerka (sockeye salmon) is the source of this 4587-nucleotide long non-coding RNA. RefSeq lists it as uncharacterized. The transcript has 7 exons. Lineage: Eukaryota; Metazoa; Chordata; Actinopteri; Salmoniformes; Salmonidae. The record is from RefSeq and is a predicted model, not a curated record.
AUUCCAUAUGUGUUAUUUCACAGUUCUGAUGUAUUCACUAUUAUUCUACAAUGUAGAAAAUAGUAAAAAUAAAGAAAAACCUUAAAUUAGUAGGUGUGCCCAAACUUUUGACUGGUACUCUCUUAUCUUAGAAUAUGUUAAAUCAGUGUGGGAAAUAAUUUGGCAGAGUGCUCUUCACAGAAUAUUCAAUAGGAUACUACUACAGAGUAAAGGCAUCUCAAUUCCAAUGAGAUUUCUGAAUAAUAGGCUACUUAACAGUUCAUUGACUUUGCCUACUCAUCAGGACAUGGAUAUUUGCCGGGCUGCGCCAUACAUGGUUUUGACUAGAUUCAUUAGUAAAAUGAGACAGACAACGGUAUAUGUCUUCAGUCGAAAGCUGAGUGGCAUCUCUGCGCGGCAGGAGCUUGAAACUGCGUGGAUAUUUAUCCGUGGCAUUCACUCUUCUUUAUCCACGGCAACGAGAGGAAGAGUAGUAGCCUACCGUGAGCAAAACCCACAACACUGAGACCGGAAUGGUUUGAUUUUCAUCAGCUCGAUUCUAUCUGCUGGACAUGGCAGAAAUGAUCAACAACCUCAUCAUGCUUUGAUGCGAAGAUUUUCUCACGUUCUCUCAGGAGACCCUUAACUUCCAGACAAGACAGCAAUAGACAUGCACAGGUUGUUGCACACAGACUGCCACGAAAAUUUUAACAUUUCCACUAUUCAACAGCAGCUGGUGCAAGAAAUCAAGACAAAUAAAUACCCAACCAAAAACUCAAUCGUAAAACAAGCGGGAAACGUCAUCUUAUGAAUGGUCGGGUAAGCAGCCGCCGGUAAAGAUAGUCAUUUCUUCAUGGAUGCUUCUUUUUCAGUUUAAGUUUUUGUGAUAUACCCCACAUCUGAACUAUUAUUUUCGUAUAUGGAGUGGUUAUCGUAUGGAAAAGAAAAAUACAUUUUGAUUUGUAUCUUCUAUGCACAAGUUGAUGAUGUGUGAAAGAAAAAUUGAAUAAGAAUCUGUAGUGCAUGAUUUGACAAUGAAGAUAAAAUAAAUGCUUUAAAUUAAAUAAAUGCUUUCCUUAUAGGCUCCACAUUACAAACAAUGACAAAAAGGAGAAAAAAUGUAGUAUUUGUAUAGGCCCAUGAACAAAAAAAAGCAGAUAUGAGUUUCCAUGGUGAGAUAACAUAUGCAUUUAGAUAAUGUUUACAAGACUAUUAACUAUCUCAUUGGAAACUUGUCACUUCAGAAUAUAAGCCCUGCCAGGAAAGAACCAAAGGGGGCAUAAGUAGUGAUAAAGGCGUAUUUUUCAUGACAUCUUAUACCAACGUUUUUGGUGCAGUCUGGACCAGUCUUGAUUUCAACGUCCAAGGACGUAAUUUUUUGGUCCAGACCAAUCAUAGACUUCGAUGUUUGGUUUAGAUUUUGUCCGGUUUGGACUGGCCUUGAGUUCAAUGUCCACAGACGUCCGGUCCGGCCUAUAUUUGGCCCAAACAUAGAAGUCUAUAAUUGGUUCAGAUUUGGUCUGGUUCAGACAAAAUCUGAACCAAUCUUAGACAACUAUGUUUCACAACUUUGGACAGCACAGUACAUACAGUACAGUAGAGCACAGCAGAGUGCAGUACACAGUACAGUAAAGUAUAGUACAAUAUAGUAAAGCACACUAGAGUAAAGUAUAGUGUACCCUACUCUACUGAAUAAAACCUUACUGUUCUGUACCAUACUGUACUAUGCUCUACUGUAAUAUUCAAACUUGUGAAACAACCUAGACGUCUAUGAUUUGUUCAGAUUUGGAUCGCACCGAACAAAUUUGCACUGGCUUGGGGUCCAAGUGCAUUCGAAUAAUACCCAGUAUACUUUGCAAGUGUUUGUUUUUACAUUUACAUUUAGUUUAUUCAGCAGAUACUCUUAUCCAGAGCAACUUAGAGUCCGUGCAUUCAACUAAGAUAGAUAAACAAAAAUGUUAUUCUAGUUGAAGGGGUCCGUUGGUUUAUUCUGUAAUAAUGACUAAAUCUUACAUGAAUAUUAAACAUGAAAUAUCAAAACCAAAUGUACACUACUUUGUUAAUAUGUAUUGGCAAUAACUAACUUAAUGGUGAGGCAUAAAAUGUAUCUUUUGUCAGGCUGGAUGUUUGAAAUAUGAGUUUUUUGGACUACUUUGAACAUCAUCGCUGCCAGUUUCAAAGCUUUUGAAAAAGCUAACAUAAGUGCAUGUGACCGAUGGAAACAAUAAUAACAAUACUUUUUUUUUUAUAUCAAGAGGCUUGAAAAAUUAUUAUUGUGAUAUAAUGCUUAUUUAAUUGAAUGUAUGUGCAAUUGAAAUUUGGCCAUAGAAUUAAUUUCCGAAAAAUAUGUAUUUUCAACUUCUGUAAAUGAUGCCUUUUCAGUGUCUUGAAAAUACGUAUUUUUGUCAUCCGGAAAAUACAUAUUUUCACCUUUUCAUUCAGCACCCAAAUCAACGUCCGUAAAGGUAGUCUUUUCGACGUCCGUAUAAGAUAUUUUUUCAACAUCCAGAAAAUAUAUUUUCUAAACUUUCAUUCAGCACCUGAAAUGCACGUUUAUUUUAUAUAUUUUAUUUAACCUUUGUUUAACUAUGCAAGUCAGUAAAGAACAAAUUCUUACUGCUUACACAUGUCAUGGUCUGGAACUUCCUGCUUACACAUGUCAAUAUCUUACGUCUUUUCAACGUAAUUUUGCUUACUGGGUGGUAGUUUGGGUAUGUGUUGGCUUCUAAUGGUAAUCUUUUGUCUGUGUAAUUGCACUGUUUUGCUGCACAUUUCCUUCUGUUCCACUGAAAGCAAUUUUGAUGUUCUAUUAUGACUAAACUUGUUUUCAGAAUUUAACAAAUAGGACUAUGUAUUUUAUUUCAUUAUCCUAUACAAUCCACCAUGAUUUACCCCCAAAAUAUUUUUAUCCCAUUUAUUUCCGCCAAUAAUUAGUAAAAAUAUCGCACCUUAAUUUGACCCUGGAAAUACAUUAUGACAAUUAGAUUUUCCCGUAAUGUUUUUAAGCAAUUAACAUAAAUACGUGCAGUCAUUUUAUUUACAUUUCUGUAUCUAAAUAAGCAGAUAGGCAUAUCAGUUCCAACUUAAACUUGAAUUUCAAGCGUCAACAUUCCAUACGGCCGUUGGGACAGAGCGCCUGGUAGGCUACACAACAACACAGCUGGAAAACGACAGUUUCUCGAAAUUUGCACAAAAAAUAAUAAUAAUAUUUGACUGCUAAGUGGUCAUCCAUGUUCUCAUGCAUUCUUGUUUUACUUUUGUACGUAAAUUGGCAGUUUGUUGGGGAGAAGAACGUCAUGGAAAGUUUUGCUAGCUGGCUAAUUUUAGCUAGCUAACGUUAGCUCUCUGGCUAAUCCUCCAUGGACAUGGUAAGUUAAAUUUAAAUUUGUACCCAUUGUAGCUAGUUAGCUAUCUAAUGUUUUGACAUUUGAUAUGUUUAGUUAUUAAUGACAGUAAGAGUGUGUGCGUGCGUGUGUGAGAGAAAUUAUGAUCACAAUAACUUUAGAAAACAUUGUCAUGCUAGCUGUGUGUAUGUCUUUGUGAGAGAGUGGGAGAGAGAUGAUCACAAUCAUUUAUAGAAAAGGUUGUCAUGUCAACAUUGUCGUGUGAGUGAGUGCGCGCGAGAGAGGGUUGAUGAAUGCAAAUAGGAAACAUUGACUGUGUGUGACAUUGUUAUCUAGCCUAAUUCUUGAAACAUGUACCUCCCAAUACGAAUGUGAAAUUUUUCUUGAUUCAUCAGGGAUCCUUGCCUAUCCCCCCUCAACACUCAUUCUAACACCUUUCAACUACCUUCAAUUAUUGAUUUUCUCUAUUGCAGUAAUCUUCUAGCUUGGAUGGCAGACAGAAGUUAUCUAGCCGGCAGGCUAAGAAAUUUCCUUAAACAUGUCAAUGACCUGAUGCGUGCUUGUCCACCCACCUAUUCUCCCACAUCCCAGGGAAAAGAGAGCAGAACCAGUCCUUCUUAAAUCCAUAGUCAUUGACAGUCUCACUGAGACUGUAUUCCCCAGAAGACAUGCUAUUCCGCUCCCCAUGAUUGCUUGAUCUUAGUACUGCCAAGCUGUCCUGGAUUGGGGGAACUGUCCGGGAUAAUGUCCUCGGGAUUAUAGAGUGAUUGAUGACCAAUGAAUUAAUGUCCCACUUCAAUAUGAAGGGACAGAGGAGCAAACAUGCCUUGCUACCACUCAUGUGUGCUCCAUUGUAAUUGUGUCAUGAAAAGCCAGAAAACUUGGGAGGUUGAUGUGUUGCGGGCCGUCGGUAAAGUCCUAAAAUGUGCACCUGACCGCUGUGGUGGAGGAGGACCUAAAAUCUGACCCAUCACACCACUCUUCAAAAGGGCCAUUGCGCUCCAGAUCACCUUCUUUGCUCAGAGGUCCUUGAUGAGGAUCUUCCCCACCACACCAAUCUUAAUAAUCAUCAAUAAUAAAAAGCAAUACGCCUUCAUAUACUCUGCCCCAGUCUUUCUAUGCAUGUAAUGCCUGUGGGUAAAUUAUGAAAGAAUUACUGUAUGCAGAUGUGCAUAGAAUUGUUUGAUUUAUUGUAAAUGUAAGAAUGUUUUGCAGAUUGAAACUAAUUGGUGACUAUGGAAACAAAUAAAUGUAAUGAACAAUG